This is a long non-coding RNA of Lagenorhynchus albirostris (white-beaked dolphin), 2154 nucleotides long. RefSeq lists it as uncharacterized. The transcript has 5 exons. The record is from RefSeq and is a predicted model, not a curated record. NCBI's taxonomy places the organism in Eukaryota, Metazoa, Chordata, Mammalia, Artiodactyla, Delphinidae.
AAAAUUGGAGCCAUCAUGGAUAUAGAGCCAAGAUGGGAGUUACCCAGUGGAUUCAGGAUCCAGCUGGAGCAGAGGAAACGGAAGAGUAACACUUGUUGCUUGAGAUCCCACAGAAAACAGAGUGAGGGGAUAGAAAUAACCUGGCUUUUAUUUUACUCUUGCCCUCUAGGCUUUUGUCAGUGCAAUCCACUGGCUGAAAUGGUCUGGAAGCCAGAAUGGAAGGAAACAAGAGAAGGCACGGAAUAAAUCUGAGAGCAAACAAGCCAGGGAACAAGAUGGUGACCAAAAGGCAGUUGGAUGUGCUAGUUUGUACUUCAGGGUGCUGUGGUCCUAAUGCUUGUGCCCCCAAUUCAUAUGUUAAAACCAUAACCUCCAAAGUGAUGGUGUUAGGAGGUAGGACCUCUGGGAGGUGCUUAGGUUAUGAGGGUAGAGCUCUUGUUAUUGGGAUUAGUGCUCUUAUAAAAGGGACACUAGAGGACUUUCUAGCCCCUUCCACCAUGUGAUGACACAGUGAGAAGUCAGCCAUCUGCAACCUGAUUGAGGGCCUUCACCAGAACCCUGCCAAGCUAACAUCCUUAUCUAAGAUUUCCCAGCCUCUGGAACUGUGAGAAAUAAAAUUAUGUUGUUUAUAAGCCACCCAGUCUAUGGAAUUUUGUUAUAGCAGCUGGAAUGGACCAAGCGAAUAUAUAAAUUUGAAUUUUUAAAUUAAAAGCAUUUUUUAAAGCUAUGGAACUCAAUUAGCUACCCUAGGGAGUGUGUAGAAAAAAAUGAAGAGAAACGUCUGAGAACAGAAACCCGGGCCCUCCAGUGUUAAAAGAAUGUGUAGGAAUUAGCAAAGGACACAAAGAAGGCGUGCCCAGUGAGCUAGGAGGAGAUCUGAGAGAACUGUGUCCUGGAAGCUACAUAGAGGAUUUAUUUAAAGAAGAUAGUGAUCGGCCAUGUGAAAUGCUGCUCGCAGGUCAAGUAAGAAGAGAGCUGAAAGUUGAGUCACUGGCUUCAGCAAUAUCGGUGUCACUGGUGAUCUUAAUUACAGGGCCAGGACUAGGGUAAGCCAAGUGAGGUACUUGCCUUGGUUGCUAAAAAUCUCAGUAUUUUAACUCAAUUAAAUGAUACCUUAAUACAAUAUUUUUAAAAAUUAAUGCAAAAUUCACAAUGAAUGCAAUAUUCAAAGUUUAAAUAAUGACAGAACUGGUAAUAGUACCAUGCUGAGCCAUAUUGGAGUCUGAGGCAAAAGGAAACAUCAAAAAUAUUGAGCUUGUCUUUAUUUAAACAUUUGAUGAGUUCAUUGUGACCUUUGGCAUUAAUUUUGACUUCUAAAAUAUUGCUUGAAAAUUAUUCAUCUUCAUAGAUGAGUGUUUUUUUUUUGUGGUACGCGGGUCUCUCACUGUUGUGGUCUUUCCCGUUGCGGAGCACAGGCUCGGGACUCGCAGGCUCAGCGGCCAUGGCUCACGGGCCCAGCUGCUGCACGGCAUGCGGGAUCUUCCCGGACCGUGGCACGAACCCGUGUCCCCUUCAUCGCCAGGCGGACUCUCAACCACUGCGCCACCAGGGAAGCCACAUAGAUGAGUUUUUAUUGCCUCUUGAAUUUUGUGCCCAACACAAGAGAUGAGGGUGAAAACUUAGUUGGAGACUGGGGAGCGUAGUGUUGGUGGACUGAAGAGAGAGAAGAGUGAAUGGAUCAGGAAAGGGCCGGAUGAUUCCUCCUUCAGCCUAGGUCCAUGAGUAAGAAGAGACAUGGAGCAGAUGUUCAACCUGGAACCAACCCACAGUUAUCAAAGUUCUUUCACAUAAAUCUCCACUUCUAAUGAACUGGUGAGAUAGAGCCAACAAGAAUAGAUUUACAUAAAGGACCAUGAGAACAUCCUGGGAAAGAACUCAAGACAGAAGAAGAGAAUCAAGACCCAAGCUGGAGACCUCAGAAGGCUGGUGAUGUAAUUCUAGUCUGAGUCUGAAGGCUAGAGAAUCAGGGGAACUGCUGAUGGUGUAAGUCCCAGACCAAGGACAGAAGAUCAAUGUCUCUGCUCAUGCAGGCAGAGAAAAACCUACAUGAGUACACAGUAGGAUGGAGGCUGUCUAUAAGCCAGGAAGAAGGCUUUCACCAGAAACCAAAUUUGCAAGAACCUUGAUCAUGGACUUCUAGCUGCCGUAACAGUG